RNAcentral lists this ribosomal RNA (253 nucleotides) under uncultured bacterium. RNAcentral describes it as "partial 16S ribosomal RNA". It matches the Rfam family "Bacterial small subunit ribosomal RNA", at positions 524 to 776 of the family's 1533-position model. The record is from RNAcentral.
UACGUAGGGAGCAAGCGUUAUCCGGAUUUAUUGGGUGUAAAGGGUGCGUAGACGGGGAAGCAAGUUAGUUGUGAAAUCCCUCGGCUUAACUGAGGAACUGCAACUAAAACUACUACUCUUGAGUGUUGGAGAGGAAAGUGGAAUUCCUAGUGUAGCGGUGAAAUGCGUAGAUAUUAGGAGGAACACCAGUGGCGAAGGCGACUUUCUGGACAAUAACUGACGUUGAGGCACGAAAGUGUGGGGAGCAAACAGG